Molecule: unclassified non-coding RNA, 366 nt
Filed under: uncultured Endogonales
Lineage: Eukaryota; Fungi; Mucoromycota; Endogonomycetes; Endogonales
Description: partial contains 5.8S ribosomal RNA, internal transcribed spacer 2, and large subunit ribosomal RNA
Rfam family: 5.8S ribosomal RNA (bases 1-102)
Source: RNAcentral
AUGCGAUACGUAAUGUGAAUUGCAGAAUUUUGUGAAUCAUCGAAUCUUUGAACGCAUAUUGCACUCUCUGGUAUUCCGGAGAGUACGCCUGUUUCAGUAUCAAAAAUGUCAUCCAAAGUUUUGGUUUUUUUGCUAAAUCUUAUGGGAUUUGGGUUUUGCAGAACUUUUAGUUCCGCUGGCCUUAAAUAAUUUUAGCCAUUUAAAAGCGUUUGGGCGAUAAGGCGUAAUAGUUGGUACUUUCGGGUCCAUUUUUUCGCUGAAGUCUGUCUUUUUAAUCUCUGGCUUAAUAAAUAUGGAAAAAGGAAAUAUAUAUAUUUUCACCAUUGUUUAGAUCUGAAAUCAGGUGGGACUACCCGCUGAACUUAA